CGGAGGGGCUAGCGUUGUUCGGAAUUACUGGGCGUAAAGCGCACGUAGGCGGACCAUCAAGUUGGGGGUGAAAUCCCGGGGCUCAACCCCGGAACUGCCUCCAAAACUGCUGGUCUGGAGGUCGAGAGAGGCGAGUGGAAUUCCGAGUGUAGAGGUGAAAUUCGUAGAUAUUCGGAGGAACACCAGUGGCGAAGGCGGCUCGCUGGCUCGAUACUGACGCUGAGGUGCGAAAGCGUGGGGAGCAAACAGGAUU
Molecule: ribosomal RNA, 253 nt
Filed under: uncultured bacterium
Lineage: Bacteria
Description: partial 16S ribosomal RNA
Rfam family: Bacterial small subunit ribosomal RNA
Source: RNAcentral